This is a long non-coding RNA of Ornithodoros turicata, 310 nucleotides long. RefSeq lists it as uncharacterized. Lineage: Eukaryota; Metazoa; Arthropoda; Arachnida; Ixodida; Argasidae. The transcript has 3 exons. The record is from RefSeq and is a predicted model, not a curated record.
CAAAUUAGCGGACUUAAGCGGCACUUUAUUUUCCAUCGUUGUCUUUCCAGCAGCGCGUAUUGUUCCGGUGAAAAUUGAGUUGAAUGAAUCGUCAUAGUCCCAACGUAUAUCGUGCUGUGUUGACCAAGACCGACGACAAAGGAUCCUGUCAUGUUUUGUGGGUACGCGAAGGAUUCCGAAACAAACAACAACAUGGCUAACAGGAUGUUGCUGCCCAGGGUGUCUUGGCUGAAGAGGUCUACUCAUUCCAGAAGCAAGAAUUGUACCAUUGUAAAGCGAAUGGAAAUAAACUGACGUCGACUGAGAUAGG